Molecule: transfer RNA, 86 nt
Filed under: Firmicutes bacterium CAG:582
Lineage: Bacteria; Bacillati; Bacillota
Rfam family: tRNA
About the family: Transfer RNA (tRNA) molecules are approximately 80 nucleotides in length. Their secondary structure includes four short double-helical elements and three loops (D, anti-codon, and T loops).
Source: Rfam by way of RNAcentral
GCCUAAGUGGCGGAAUAGGUAGACGCACAGGACUUAAAAUCCUGCGAGUGUUAAAGCUCGUGCCGGUUCAAGUCCGGCCUUAGGCA